CCUACGGGAGGCAGCAGUAGGGAAUAUUGGUCAAUGGGGGCAACCCUGAACCAGCCAUGCCGCGUGCAGGAAUAAGGCCCUAUGGGUCGUAAACUGCUUUUGAACGGGAAGAAACCUAUUUACGUGUAGAUAGUUGACGGUACCGUUAGAAUAAGGAUCGGCUAACUUCGUGCCAGCAGCCGCGGUAAUACGAAGGAUCCAAGCGUUGUCCGGAUUUACUGGGUUUAAAGGGUGCGUAGGCGGACUCAUAAGUCAGUGGUGAAAGCCUUCAGCUUAACUGAAGAACUGCCAUUGAAACUGUGGGUCUCGAGUUCGGUUGAGGUCAUUGGAAUGUAACAUGUAGCGGUGAAAUGCAUAGAUAUGUUACAGAACACCGAUUGCGAAGGCAGAUGACUAAACCGAAACUGACGCUGAGGCACGAAAGCGUGGGGAUCAAACAGGAUUAGAUACCCUGGUAGUCCACGCCUAAACGANANAUAUACACUANACGAUAUANAGUAGGUCGACGACGAAGACGUAGUAUACUACUGAGUAGUCGCGAGAGAGAGACAAUAGAUUAGAGNGUUGAGAGNGCGAGCGACACGAGGAGAG
This 591-nucleotide ribosomal RNA is filed under the name uncultured bacterium. Its description in RNAcentral is "bacterial SSU rRNA". The stretch from base 1 to 485 matches the Rfam family "Bacterial small subunit ribosomal RNA", at positions 338 to 873 of the family's 1533-position model. The record is from RNAcentral.